AACAAUUAACUUGCUGUGAAGCUGUGAAGUGGAAGAGCUGCAUUUCAAACCCAGCUAUUCUGCCUUGACGUUCACAUAGACCAUUUCUUCCCUGAUGCUGUGGCAUGGCAUCACUGCAUAGCCUGACAAGCUGCUUGGAAUAUUAACCAAAGGGAUGAGACAUUAGUCCAGCUUCACACACAGCUCCUCCAGCAGGGCAGCCCUGUUCCCGUGACACCGCUGAGCCACAGACAUCUGGCAGGCUCGUCAAGAGACAGGGAAAAUGAGGGAGCUUUUUCUGUCUGUGCUAAAGUGGAUGUCAACUGCCAUUUACUGGCCACUUAGUAAGUACCUGUUUAUGUGCUAAGUUUUGUACAGAGAUCUCUUCAUUGAGAGCCCCCAUCAACUCUGUAAGCUAGCUUCCACUGUCAUCCCCAUUUGACACGUGAGCACACUGAGGCUCUGUGAGGUUCCGUGACUUGCUGGAGGAUCCCACGCUGGAACAUGGGCCUGACUGGAAGACAGGAUUCAGUUCCAGAAGCUCCAUCAUUAAGCCUCCAGGGGAAGAGGAUGCGGCUGCCCACGCUCUGCCAGCUUUGCCGGGGCCUCUCCCCGGGGUUCCAAGUGCCUCUGAAAGCCGUGCUCCGAGGACGCCCAAGUUGGGAAAGUGGGCAGUGACAGCUCCACCGCCUCCCUCUCUAAUGGAGAGAGGUGUCUCUGUCCUUGCAACCAUCUGAUCCUAUUGUCGCACAGCUGAAGGAACCCAGUCUCAGAGACUAGCCCGCAUCACCGGGCCCCUAGCUGGCUCCUUCCCUGCAGUUCCACAGUAGGUCAGUCCUGGUUUCUGCAGCCAGGAAUUCAGCCUCUGUCCCCCUGGGACCGCUGGGAGGAGGGCAUGGUUGUUUUCCACAACAUCAACCCGCAAGAGUCAGGGAUGCUCCUUAACAACCUGCUAUGGAUUGACCAUGAAUUUAU
Long non-coding RNA from Lemur catta (Ring-tailed lemur), 954 nucleotides. RefSeq lists it as uncharacterized. The transcript has 5 exons. NCBI's taxonomy places the organism in Eukaryota, Metazoa, Chordata, Mammalia, Primates, Lemuridae. The record is from RefSeq and is a predicted model, not a curated record.